AUUGCUUCUCGGCCUUUUGGCUAAGAUCAAGUGUAGCAAAAAUAAUUUUAAAAAAUACUUUUUAAAAAAGUUAAUGAAAAUGUUUUUCUCUACAGUUAAUAAUACUGUACUUGCACAUUUUACUUUUAUUGAUUGUAU
This 138-nucleotide small nuclear RNA is filed under the name Rhinolophus ferrumequinum (greater horseshoe bat). Its description in RNAcentral is "U2 spliceosomal RNA (ENSRFEG00010000188.1)". It matches the Rfam family "U2 spliceosomal RNA". From Rfam's summary of the family: U2 is a small nuclear RNA (snRNA) component of the spliceosome (involved in pre-mRNA splicing). Complementary binding between U2 snRNA (in an area lying towards the 5' end but 3' to hairpin I) and the branchpoint sequence (BPS) of the intron results the bulging out of an unpaired adenosine, on the BPS, which initiates a nucleophilic attack at the intronic 5' splice site, thus starting the first of two transesterification reactions that mediate splicing. The record is from Rfam by way of RNAcentral. Lineage: Eukaryota; Metazoa; Chordata; Mammalia; Chiroptera; Rhinolophidae.